CCCCCCAGCAAUGGCCAAAGACACACUUUGUUGUUGGUGAUGAUCUUAUAUCAGUCAAGGGCAAAGCAGAUGGAGGUCCUUUGUUUAUCCUGUCCUGAUGCCUGACUUGAUGGUCAAUACCACUUUAUGCCUAGGACACAUAA
This is a small nucleolar RNA of Grammomys surdaster, 143 nucleotides long. RefSeq annotates it as small nucleolar RNA SNORA48. NCBI's taxonomy places the organism in Eukaryota, Metazoa, Chordata, Mammalia, Rodentia, Muridae. The record is from RefSeq and is a predicted model, not a curated record. The transcript has a single exon.